Molecule: ribosomal RNA, 253 nt
Filed under: uncultured bacterium
Lineage: Bacteria
Description: partial 16S ribosomal RNA
Rfam family: Bacterial small subunit ribosomal RNA
Source: RNAcentral
GACAGAGGGUGCAAACGUUGCUCGGAAUUACUGGGCGUAAAGCGCGUGUAGGCGGACGUGUAAGUCAGGUGUGAAAUCCCCGGGCUCAACCCGGGAACUGCACUUGAAACUGCGCGUCUUGAGUACUGGAGAGGGUAGUGGAAUUCCUGGUGUAGAGGUGAAAUUCGUAGAUAUCAGGAGGAACACCGGUGGCGAAGGCGGCUACCUGGACAGACACUGACGCUGAGACGCGAAAGCGUGGGGAGCAAACAGG